This is a long non-coding RNA of Sus scrofa (pig), 2688 nucleotides long. RefSeq lists it as uncharacterized. Lineage: Eukaryota; Metazoa; Chordata; Mammalia; Artiodactyla; Suidae. The record is from RefSeq and is a predicted model, not a curated record.
AGAUAACGUGCAGACUCUGAGAAUGCCCAGGCCAUCUGUCCCUGUCCUGGGCUCACAGACACUUUGACUCCCAGGCUAUCCCAGGUAUGCGACGCUGAUGGGACAAUGGUGGGGUCCCCAGGAUACCUGAUCUGGGUGAGCCGGUGCUCUGGGGUCUGAGCGAGGGGCGACACUCUGCUGGUUUCUGAGCCCACAAAGCCACUGUCUGUCUCGGGGGAUGCCAUCCAGGGCUCCUGAAAGAGGCAGUGUCCCUUUAAGUCAGAGGAAUGUGCCCGAGGCACACUGGGAAAUCCUUCCGAGUCCUGGCCUGGGCCUCACAUUCCAGAGGCUCACAGGCAGGGAGGCUGGCCUGGCUCCCAACAGCCUGGCCCAGGGUGUGAGGGUCCGCAGGCGCUCGGGACCCAGCACGAGCACCAGGCCAACAGCGGGAACUCCACACCCUGAGAGGACCCUGAGCAAAUGCCGCUGCCCUGAGGAGUGGGAGCCAGGGCCCGUGGGAGAGAUAUCGUCGCAGAUUUCCUGAGCCGAGGAAUAGAAAGAGAAGGAGAAAGCAGUCCCACGGCGAGAAUGGCAUUCUCAUGUCCAGGCCUGGGCCGGGAACGCCGUGGUCCUACCUGGCAGCAGACAUGCCCAGGCCCAAUGAACUGGGAAAAUAAAAUUAAUCAAACAUGCACACCUCCUCGCAUUAGACCUCUGCGUCUAAUGCCAGGCAGAAAGAUCACCCACAGAGUGACACAGAUGGCUGACCCUGGAAGAGCAAGAGAGGCACUGAAGACAAAAUAGCCCUAAUAGCCCUGAGACAUUCUCCCUGAUGUGCACGGAAAGCGUGAGACUGAGGAGAGUAACGUCACUUAAUACCACAUCUGUUCUGCCAGAAAUCCCGUCCCAUAGCACCCCAAGUCAUUUCAAGUGCCAUCGAGGGCAUAUCUGAAACUGUAAAGCACUGCCUAGCUCACCGUGACAAUUCCCACCCCUGUGGUGUCUGAGUUGCUCUGGGACCAGUGGGGGAGGCUGGCUGACGUACUCGAGGGGGGGCCUGUGACCCCUCUCAGCCUGCAUCGCCAGGAGCUGCCUGGUGGGGAGCCUGGUGGCCGAUCUUCCUGGAGCUGGAGCCUGCCCGUCGACUUGCAGGGUGUGGCCCUGCCCCUCCCCUUCCUCCUCCUCCAUCCUCAUGGCUUCUGGGAGGGGCUUCACACUGAGGUACCUGCAGAAGAACACAGAAGAGCGUGACCUCUGUCCAGCAGGGCCAGCAGGAUCCAGCCGCGGGGCCGUCACCCUGGCCUCGCUCCUGGUGGGUGCUUACCGCUCUAGGAGGCCGUGGACAUCCUCUUCCACCUGCAGCUCCUUGUGUCUGAGUGGGGCGGGGAGGCCCAGCGGCCUGUCCUCUACCUCAUUGCUGGUAGCGCUCAGAUCCAAGUUCACAUGCAAUGGGUGGGGCUCAAGGCUGCUGGUGUUGAGCUGAGGCCGGAAAGGAAGAGGGGCAGAGAUUCGGCAGAUACCAAAGCACCACUUUUAAGGACCUACCUCAUGCUGGGCUCAUGCGGGGGCUGAAGAGGAGGAAAAAGGUUAGACGCACUAACCCAUCACCGUUUUAUGUGUGUACGAAAGGCAGGGACGGGAUCAUGCCCCCUUCAAUACUGGUUGCUGUUGGUUGAGCCCCUACUAUGUGCCAGGCACUGUACAGACCUCACAGCAAUCCCACCAGCACAUACGGUUAUUACAACCCAUUUUAUGGAUGGGUAACUGAGGCUCAAAGGAUUUGCCUAAAGUCACAAGGAAGUGAGGGGCGGAGCCAAGAUUCAGACCAUGAUUCCCAUUCCAAUAUGGACACCUGGCUUCUCAAAACAACUUCACUGUGGGAGUAGGAGAGCCUCUCAAAGUGAUGCACUUGACAUGACGGAUUGUCUCUCUUGGGACUGUGAUGUGGGCUGGAGAGAAGGCUCCAAGGCCCCUUCCAUGUACUGCCCUUGUCCAGUGUCCUCGUUUCUGUGAAUAGUCCCCAAACCACCCAUGACCAUGCGCUAGAAGCCUGGAGGUCAUCCUUGGCUCCUUUGCUCCCACAUUCACUCCGAGUCCAAUCAAAUGUACCUUCUACACCUCUCUCAAGUCCAUUGCCCUGGCACCUCCCCGCCUCUGACCUACCUGCAAAUCUUCUUGUAUUGUUCCCUGCUAAAAAAAAAACCCAGCAGAGCUUAAGAACGUCCUCUUGAUGUGACACACAAGCCCUACAUCGGGGGCCCCUGCCUGCCUUUCCAGCCUUAUCUCUUAGACAACCAUCUCCCCUCACUGUCGCUACUCUAACCGCAGGGCCUUUGCACAGGCUGUUUUUCCUGCCAGAUGGCUUUUUCUCUUCUGUAGCUGAUAAAUCCUACUCAUCCUCAGAUCUCAGUUAAACAUAACUUCCUCAAGGAAAGUUUCUCUGUCCCUCUAAACUCAGAUCUAUUAUCCUGUUAUCUACUCUCAUAGAAUCCCACAAUUCUCCUUCAGAGCACUGAUCCAAGUGAUAGUUAAGUAACUGUAACUCGUUCAACUAGACAGAAAACUUCAUGAGGGCAGAGGCCACCUAGUUCUUUGUUUUCCACUGAAUUCCCACCAGGGGUCAUGAAUCUUGGCGUAUGGUACAAACUUCACAAAUACAUUGUGAAGAAGUCCAUUAACGGAAAAAAUAAUAAAUGAAGGAAGAGUCCA